Molecule: long non-coding RNA, 990 nt
Organism: Xyrauchen texanus (razorback sucker)
Lineage: Eukaryota; Metazoa; Chordata; Actinopteri; Cypriniformes; Catostomidae
Exons: 4
Source: RefSeq, a predicted model, not a curated record
CAGAAAUUCCGGGGUGUAUUCCAGAAAGCAGGUGAAGUGAUUUACCCGUGGCAAGUUUACUCAGAAUAAGCCGAUAACUUUCAGGGUAUGUUAGUAGCCAUAGAAACUUAAUAAUAACUCCGGAGUAGGUUAUGUUCCAGAGUUAGUUUAUUUCAGGUAGAUGUUAGUACGUUUCAGAGGCUGUCAGCGCAUGCGUGCCCUUUUUAAUAGCGGCACAGUGGGCGAGAAAGUUCAGAUUACACACAAUACGGAUUCCCAAAUGUCAUUGGAUGCAUUGAUGGAACCCACAUUCCUAUUAAAGCUCCUUCAGUCAAUGAAGGAGUCUAUGUUAAUAGGAAGUCAUUCCAUAGCAUCAAUGCCCAGGUAAUAUGUGAUGCAUCCCACCUCAUCACAAAUGUUGAAGCCAAAUGGCCAGUGUCUCUACGCGAUGCCAGAAUUUUCCGGGAGUCAUCAUUGUGCCACAAAUUUGAACAAGGAAACUUCAGUGGUUACUUGCUGGGGGACAGAGGGUACCCCUGUCUGCCCUAUAUGAUGAUCCCCUACCCUGAGCCUGGACCACAGACACGAUUUAAUCUGGGCCACAUCAGAACACGGGCUAAGGUGGAAAUGACCAUUGGCAUCCUGAAGGCCAGGUUUCAGUGCCUGCGUGGGCUCAGGGUCAGUCCAGAAAGAGCAUGUGACAACACAAUGGCAUGUGUGGUUCUUCACAACAUUGCCACAAUAAGAGGCAAGAGGGCCCCCUUCUCUUUAUGAAGAUGGUCAAGAGGAACCCCCAGUGAACCUAGUGGACCAAACAGAUGGAAGGGUUGUACAGGAUGUGAUCUGCCAAAAACUCUUUUAAAUUGAAUGAAUAAUGCACAGAGUGAACAGUCAAUUGUUUUUAUAGUUUCUUUAUUUCCUGUAAUAAAAAGACAUUUGUAUUUAUUGCUUUACCAUUCAAUAACAAAUGACAGAUUAAUCAUCACUUGACAAAUACAGUUCUCACCUUUA